RNAcentral lists this ribosomal RNA (497 nucleotides) under uncultured bacterium. RNAcentral describes it as "partial 16S ribosomal RNA". It matches the Rfam family "Bacterial small subunit ribosomal RNA", at positions 28 to 507 of the family's 1533-position model. The record is from RNAcentral.
GACGAACGCUGGCGGCGUGCCUAAUACAUGCAAGUUGAGCGAUGAAGAUUGGUGCUUGCACCAAUUUGAAGAGCAGCGAACGGGUGAGUAACGCGUGGGGAAUCUGCCUUUGAGCGGGGGACAACAUUUGGAAACGAAUGCUAAUACCGCAUAACAACUUUAAACAUAAGUUUUAAGUUUGAAAGAUGCAAUUGCAUCACUCAAAGAUGAUCCCGCGUUGUAUUAGCUAGUUGGUGAGGUAAAGGCUCACCAAGGCGAUGAUACAUAGCCGACCUGAGAGGGUGAUCGGCCACAUUGGGACUGAGACACGGCCCAAACUCCUACGGGAGGCAGCAGUAGGGAAUCUUCGGCAAGGGACGAAAGUCUGGCCGAGCAACGCCGCGUGAGUGAAGAAGGGUUUCGGAUCGUAAAACUCUGUUGGUAGAGAAGAACGUUGGUGAGAGUGGAAAGCUCAUCAAGUGACGGUAACUACCCAGAAAGGGACGGCUAACUACGUG